UACGUAGGUGGCAAGCGUUGUCCGGAAUUAUUGGGCGUAAAGCGCGCGCAGGCGGUUCCUUAAGUCUGAUGUGAAAGCCCACGGCUCAACCGUGGAGGGUCAUUGGAAACUGGGGGACUUGAGUGCAGAAGAGGAGAGCGGAAUUCCACGUGUAGCGGUGAAAUGCGUAGAGAUGUGGAGGAACACCAGUGGCGAAGGCGGCUCUCUGGUCUGUAACUGACGCUGAGGCGCGAAAGCGUGGGGAGCAAACAGGAUUAGA
RNAcentral lists this ribosomal RNA (259 nucleotides) under uncultured Anoxybacillus sp. Its description in RNAcentral is "partial 16S ribosomal RNA". It matches the Rfam family "Bacterial small subunit ribosomal RNA", at positions 524 to 782 of the family's 1533-position model. Lineage: Bacteria; Bacillati; Bacillota; Bacilli; Caryophanales; Anoxybacillaceae. The record is from RNAcentral.